UACGAUCUACGAUGCUUGUCCCACGGCCUGACUGAAUAAUAUUUAUAUAAUCAAUGGAAGGAAAAAACAGUAGAACAUUGAAAUUGGCUCGUAGGCAAGACGGAAGAUGGUCAAAACCGGUCAGAAAAUGAUGGCCUAGACACGGUUGGAGAGCUCUUGUUGGCAGAAACCACCUGAAGAUGGUCAGAUGACAUCAGCAACCUUG
This is a non-coding RNA of Plutella xylostella (diamondback moth), 205 nucleotides long. The record is from RefSeq and is a predicted model, not a curated record. Lineage: Eukaryota; Metazoa; Arthropoda; Insecta; Lepidoptera; Plutellidae.